UACGGAGGAUCCGAGCGUUAUCCGGAUUUAUUGGGUUUAAAGGGUGCGCAGGCGGGAGAUUAAGUCGGCGGUGAAAUUUUGCAGCUCAACUGUAAAAGUGCCUUCGAAACUGGUUUCCUUGAGUGUAGAUGAAGUAGGCGGAAUUUGUGGUGUAGCGGUGAAAUGCUUAGAUAUCACGAGGAACUCCGAUUGCGUAGGCAGCUUACUAAACUACUACUGACGCUCAGGCACGAAGGCGUGGGGAUCAAACAGGAUUAGAUACCCGCGUAGUCCCUGA
This 277-nucleotide ribosomal RNA is filed under the name uncultured prokaryote. RNAcentral describes it as "partial 16S ribosomal RNA". It matches the Rfam family "Bacterial small subunit ribosomal RNA", at positions 524 to 800 of the family's 1533-position model. The record is from RNAcentral.